This is a long non-coding RNA of Marmota monax (woodchuck), 939 nucleotides long. RefSeq lists it as uncharacterized. The transcript is spliced from 3 exons. The record is from RefSeq and is a predicted model, not a curated record. Lineage: Eukaryota; Metazoa; Chordata; Mammalia; Rodentia; Sciuridae.
CAGGGUCUUGCUAACUUGCUUAGAAUCUCAGUAAGUUGCAGAAGUUGGUCUAGAACUUGUGAUCCUCCUGCUUCAGCCUCCUGAAUCCCUAGGAUUACAGAGUCUUGCUAAGUUGCCUAGGCUGGCAUUGAACUUGCCAACCUCCUUCUGCCUCCCAAGUAGCUGGGAUUAAAGGCACAGCCCAACUUGAGAACCAAGUCAAAAUAAUAUAAAUGCCGGCAAAACCAAAAUUCUCAACCAACAACCCCAUAACAGAGCAGACCGCACAAAACUCGGAUCCAAAAUGACCAAACAGCCCCAGUGGAAAAGCCACAUAAGAAAACCUGCUAUAAGGAAGGUACUUCAUUAAAUCCAGCUGGAUAAAUCUUAAUUCUCAAAACUCCCUUUCUCUGCCACUUCCAGAAGCCACACCACCUUCCAAUCGCAACAUCCUCUGUAGUGACCAUCACCUCCCGUCCCUCCAAUGCCAGAAGUGUCAAGCAUCAGCCUCAUGCUCACACAGCCUAUGAAAGUGAGGUUUCUACAUCAAGGACCCCGGAAUCAACCCUCGCUUCCUGGCCUUUCCUUUGGUCCUGAGCACCCUCCUAUUUCUCUAAACUGCAAAGGGGAGGAGGGAGCAACCGAACCUUCUCUACAGCCGUUCGAGUGACUGCUAUGUUUCCAUGGCUCACUUUCCACUGUUCUUGGUGACCCCUGCAGAUUUCCCUUAUGAGUUAGUGUCCCGGAAUGUCUCUUUAUUAGGUGUCUGGAGAAGCAGAGCUGUCCUGAUGCCAGCGCCCCCACACUGAGGACUUUAUUAGUUUUUUAAUUUCUGUCUGGGUGCCCCUGCUGCAUCAAACUUUCCACAGCUGUUAGGAGCUAUUAAGUAAGUAGCCUCAUUGGGCCCUUUCCCCGCCCCCACCUCCUUCUUAAUAACAUGAGAAAUUUCUGGACAUGCUA